RNAcentral lists this unclassified non-coding RNA (351 nucleotides) under Hevea brasiliensis (rubber tree). Lineage: Eukaryota; Viridiplantae; Streptophyta; Magnoliopsida; Malpighiales; Euphorbiaceae. The record is from RNAcentral.
GGUAUGUUUGGGUGGGCAGCACUUACAAAAAGAGGGAGGGAGAGGGGAGUGAAGUAGAGAGAGAAUUUUGCAACCUAGAUAACUUCCAUAUGCAAUGCUCUAAGUUAGACAGUUUUAGUUCUGAUUGCAAAAUAUAUAAGAAUCAACAAAGUACAUUCUCAAGCAUCCAAGACUAAAAUGUGGAGAAGAAAGUUUAACCACUAGCAAAACCUGAAUUGCAUAAAAACUAGAAGAAUUAAUUCAGAUGCACUGAAAACACCACAAAGUUCAUGUUGACAGAAACAUUUAAUCGUAAAAAUUUUAUCAUCAAAUUACUUGGUAGAUGCAAGUAAUAAAGAAAGAAAAGAAAAG